UUUGGCUCUGUCUGGUCUUUGAUUGGCUUUUGAGUUCCUGUCUUAUUCCUGGUUAGCUGUUGUUGUUGUUCCAGACCAUCAUUCUGUGAUCCUAAGGGAUUCUUCUGCGACAGAACUUCACAUUUCUGUAUAAUUUAGAAAGAAUAUGGGAUAUUCAGUUGAGACAAUAUUUUGUUUUGAAAACAGAUAAUAUGUGGGAGUCAGUCUUUGCUCUCACGUUACACCAGAUCUUCACACAGGGGUUGACGGCUGAAGCCGGAGCCAUGCACACACACUUCUUGCAGUCUGUUCCUUUGGUAACUGUCUCCACGGUGUAAAAGUCCCGGGAUGGUGAUGCCAGGUCGCUGUCAUGGAUACGGCUGCAGUCAGAGCGUUUGAUUGGUCGAACGAUACAGCGACACACACAGUCGGACCCUGAUGACACAGUCUUAACUUUGUCGUAAUCGCCCAGCAACUGAAAGAGAGGAGGAGUUUUUUUUGUCUUUCUAAGUAUCAUUUUUUACUUAUACUGGCUGCUCAAACAAAAGGAAACUUUAAACAAAAAAAAUACACUAACUUUUUACUUAACUUUAAAUUGAACGUACAUAUAUUUGAUUAUUGGUAUCAAGCAGCAAUACUUAAACUUUUUUAUUUUUUUUUUUUUUUUUUUUUAAGAGUUGUAGCAUGGGGGAUGAUUUGCAGCUGCAGCAGUGGUGAGCUGCCUGAGAAGAAGACAGCUUCAGGAGUUUACAAACAGGCACUUUUUGGUUUGGAGCACUUACAGUUUGAAGGAUAUUACAUAACCAACCACAAGACUGAUGCACACUGUUGCUGUGGAGCACACACACAGGCCUGAGUCUGAUUUACACGUCAUACAAGCCAAACUGAUGGACUGUGGGGUUUGGAUUGUGUUAAAAAGGAAACAUAAAGUAGCAGUAGGCCUAGUUUUGCAAGUAAAAACUGCUGUGUCUAACACAGUCACUUUCAUAUUGUAAAUGAGAAAUUUACAGUUUACAGUUCAAAGGCAACAUGUGUCCAAAAAGCACAAAUGCUUUGAAUUCUUAUGUGGUUUUCACUUGAUGAAUUGGAUGGAAAAUGUUCCUGAGUUCAACAAGUAGCCUAACCACUGAGAUGUGAUCUGACCAUGGCUCUACACACAAGCCUGUUGGCAAAGUGGUCACACGAAGUCACGUGGAGAGAGGAACAUUAAACUGGUCUUGGUUUGCAGUUCUGGCAGUUCAAAAGUUCCCACCAUUAACAGGAUUAGAAUUUUCUUGAGCCAGCACAGGCCAUACAAAACUUCACUUUACUAACUAACUUUACUUUUACUAACCAACAACCCUAAGUAAAUUGGAUAAUGCCGAAUUAAAGGAUGCCUAUUUUUAAGACAAUACGUAAAAUAUGGGAGCACAUUAGGGUACACCGACCUGGCUAAUGAUAUUCUCUUGGUUAUCCAGCUCAUCUUCCAGAGGCUCGGCGGUGGGUUGAGCUCUCCCCUCCGCACCAGGAGCGUCUGUCCCCGGGGAAAGCUGCUCCCCUCCCCGCGGACUGCUCCCCACUUUAGCCGCGGAGGGAGCAUCCCUGUCCGGAGUGCCCCGCUCUGCUGCUUCGGUCAACAGCAUCUUCCGAAGCGAGGGGUCAUCGCUUCUGUCCGCCUCUCGAGCAUCAAGACCACUAACAGCACAGCAUAAAAUCAGCAGAGAGAAUCCGCACCACAUUUCUCCACAAUGAACAGCUAGCUCUCUGUGAAGAUACAAGUCUCAGGUAAUUAUCAGGUAGUCGUUGCCAAAAAUGGCCGAGCAGGUCCAGUGUGAUGCGCUGAAAGAACACACGAACCACGUAUCCAACAGUCCACUGGUUUCUGAAUUAAGCUUAACAGGCUAAUUGUCCACAGCUCUUCUAAAGCGUUUUACAUCUCCAACGCAAUGAAUGAACGCUGGUUCAAAUUUUGCCUGAUAUACAACUUUAUACAACAGACUCACUUCAGUUCCUGUCAAUGAAGGUUGUAUUUAAAAAAAGGACGAAAGGAAAAUGAAUAAGUAAAUACUGUAAAUGCCGGAGACAAAGGAGCUCUAUUCGGUUACAUGCGACGUGUCGUCGGUGACAGAACUCCACACCGGACCCGGUCCAAACCAAGUCUGGCUGAGAGAGAGAGAGAGAGAGAGAGAGAGAGAGAGAGAGAGAGAGAGAGAGAGAGAGAGAGAGAGAGAAGAGAGAGAGAGAGAGAGAGUGUGAGAGAGAGAGAGCAAGAGAGAGAGAGAGAGAGAGAGACCUCUUCAGUCUUACUAUCCAUUCAUAGCAGUCAACAAACCCUAGGUUUAAGUAAGGCAAGGCAGCUUUAUUAUAUCUAUAAAAUCGUUUUAAAGAAUAGUUAGAAUGAGAGAAUAAAAACAGCUAAAGUAGAGUAAGACAGCAAAGAAAUACAAGAAUAAAAGUUACAGUGCAAAAGAAAAAAGACAAUUAUUUAAAAAAAUGGCAGCAUCAAACAGAAAAGUCUUCAUCCUCCAUUUAAAAGAACUGAGAGUUGCAGUGGGCCUGCAGUUCUCUGUUCCAGAUGCUGUAGCCUAUGUGGUGCAUAAAAACUCAAUUGCAAAAGACAGACCACCAUGGCCUCAAAACUACAGGUUUACACAACAAACAAAAAACAACAGGAUGGCGGACAACGAUUAAGGAAAAUAACAGAUGUCCGAGUCACGUUUAAGUCCAAAGUCUGGAUCCAUAGUUCCUCCAUGGUUCUGUAAUUUUAAUUUACAGACUGAAAAACGUGUGCUGCAGAACUGUGCUGUUUUCUACCAGUUUGGAGUUGCAGUGAUUAAAGAGAGAAAACGUGCUCUUCACCUUUUCACAGGCAUUUUGUAUUCAUAUUUAGACCGAUAUUGUGAUGAUAUCAUUAUAGGAUUGUCUAGCGAUAUAUUGAUUCAUGCAGAAUGGCUGCAUUGUCCUUAUCAUUAUCAUCGGUAUCGUUAGCCAUGUAUCAUGUAUCGUAUCGUGAUCCUGUGAUUCAUGAACACAUGACACAAAACAGC
Molecule: long non-coding RNA, 3005 nt
Organism: Etheostoma spectabile (orangethroat darter)
Lineage: Eukaryota; Metazoa; Chordata; Actinopteri; Perciformes; Percidae
Exons: 2
Source: RefSeq, a predicted model, not a curated record